UUUCCUGGGUGCCUCCACAGACUCCCUCAUAAUCCCAACUCGGGGGUCACUGCCCCUUGAAAACUGUCGGUAUUUAGUAGGUCCUUCAGGGACUUCUCCCAAGCUACACAGACCCCUCCCGUAACUUGACACAAAAACCCCUCAGGUUUCUCCCCCUUUGAUCCCGUGGUCUUCAGGCUACAGACUCUCCCCACCUACAACCCUGGGACCCUUCGCGGCGGCUCCGGACCAGCGAGGCCAGCGCCCGCCUCCUUCCCUUCCCCUCCCCGCUCAGCGGACCGCCGCAAUCUCGGGCAGCGGGUGGGCUCUCUCUCUCUCGGUCCCCCGCUGCCUCCCAGCCUCCCCUGUCCCCGUCUCCGGCCUGGCCACCUCCACAAGGCAGACCUAGGGGCAGCCCCAGGGUCCGCGGAGCCCGAGGGUCUCAAUCUCUGGCCUCCCCCCAAUUCGUCCCUUGAAAAGUAGCAAACUUGCCUCGACCCGCGGUCACUCACGCCCCAGAGAAGCAAUGACCUCGGUGCCAGCCCGGGAUCCCAGCUCCAAGCCCCACGUGGACAGUUCUAACAACCGCCACCUCCCAACGGACCCUCUCUCCCCCACCCCCAGCCACAGCAACGGCGGCCACGGCAGCCCCCCCACCCCAGAGCCCAACCGCCAAGCGCCGGCUAACCGAGCCCGGAAUACUUAGACCUGCGCAGCCGGACCCGGCCAGAUCGGGGGCGGGGCUUCAGCAGCACAGGGCCCUGAACGGGCCGGACCGGGAAGGGGAGGAGCCAGAAAAGAGCUGGCCAGGGCAGGGAUCAGUAAAAGGGGCGCUGGCUGCAGGCUCUGGAGUUGUUCCAAGUGAAGCUCGAAGCCGCGGAACGGGCAAGUAAAUGUCGCAUUUCCAGCAAGGAGAGCUAGCAAAGGCGUGGGGAGGAGAUUAUAAGCAUCCACCCCGUGCCAGGCAGUGCUGAGCGUUUUUGUUUGUUUUUAACGUAGAUCAUUUCAAUCAGUCAGCAUUUAUUUAGUCCUCCUGUGUUGCAGGCAAAUACCCUCACCACCAGAUAGGUGUUGCUGUUAAUCCCAUUUAGGAAUGGGACACGCAGGAAUUAAGAUAGUUGCCCAGAGUCACACAGCUAUUAAGUGUCUUAGGUCAGAUUUGAAUUUAGCUUUUCCGGACCCCCGGUCCAGCACUUUAUUCCGAAUCUUCCCCACCGCCCCCAAGGUACAAGAGUCAGUGGGUCUGGUUUAAAGGGGUGUCUGGGGAUAAGAGCAAAGAGUAGAAGUGAGGAACUUAACACAUGAAAUCAAAUGGGAAAGUCCGGGGUCAAGAAGUAGGGGGGAAAGAUUGAAGGCUGUAGUAAGGGACGGAUAAUGUAUUGAUUAGCAAUCAAAUUUAUAAGUCAAUUGCAUUUUUAACAAUAAUAUUAAUAGGAAGCAUUUAUGUAUCUCUUUAAGUAUUGUGUUAAAUUAAUGCAGAAAUAUCUUAAUAUAGGAUAUAAAACUGACUCCUUCAUUUUGGUCAUCUAAUAUUUAUAAAGCACCUACUGUGCCCAGUUCUGUGCUUAAUUCUGGGGUAGAUUCAAACUUUAGAUAAGCUGCUGGGUCCCGUGCCAUUAUGGGGUUUACGAUCCUGUAGAAUUAUCCAAAUUCAUAUAAUUCUAACAGUAUUACACAAGUAAUGUAAGUGUUAGACAAUGCAGCAGAUAUUUGAGUCAGGGCAUGGGAACCUUCCAGUUAUAUAAAAGAAUUAGGGUAGGAGAGUGAAAUCAUUUAGUGAUGGAGGAGCUGAAUAAAGCUAUGAGGAAGGCUGAUCAGUAGAAAUUACAGUUUAUUUGAAGAAAGGAAUAGAAUAGUGGGCAGCACAAAGAGAAAACUUCCCAAAGUACAUGUAAUAAAACUUAGAUUCAAUCAGCCAACAAAUAUCAAAUGCUUUGCUUAGUAGGUGAAUUCGGGAGAUACAAAGAAAUGGAAAAAACACAGCCCUACCCCGAAAAAGGACAAUGGGGGACACAAUAUGCAAAUGUCUAUGUUUACCAGAUAGGAAACUUGCAAAUGAGAAGAUAGUUUUAGGGAGGAGGCUUCUAGCAGAAAGUGGAAUUGGUACAGUCUAGGAAAAAGCCAGAAAAGCCAAGAGGCAAGGAGAGGAGGACGAACAUUCCAGGAACGAGGGACAGCCUCUGAAAAGACUGGAGAGUCUUGUGAAAGCAUAAACUCUCUGUUGGGAGAAAACCUAAGGCUUUUACCUUUCCAUCAGGACUACAGUACUGGAGAUACCAAGCAGCAGACAUCCAACAGCUGAAGAUCAUAUGGGGAUUUGUGGGAGGCGCUGAGCAUGUGGAAAGUACAGCAACCGAGGCCCUAAAAAGUGACCUGUGUGACUUAGCCCAUUGAUGGUAACAGAUAAAGAUUUAACCAUCAGUUAUCCCACUUAUGGAAGUAAUAAAAAGUCACUGAAGUAUGAAUUCCUUUGUUGUUGAUGUUGGACCAUGACAUCAGGGAGGUAAUGCCAUGGUGCAAAUGGACUGGAUUUAAGUGAGGGAGGGCUGGGCGAGCACCCCGGCCUUUUUUCUCUGGAGUCAUUUAGGUCCAGUGGUAAGACAUAGAACAGGACAACAGGAGGUGGCUUUUUAAAGCUAAGGUCUUUAACAGAUCUCCAUUUGACAGAGACUGUGCCCAACCAAUGAUUAAGGGUAGAUAAGAAAUAAGGCAGAGAAUGGCCUCUUACCUAGUCAAAAUAUUUACAAUAUACAUCAGUAUGGGAGGGAAGACCUGCAGGGUUUCUGUCCAAAAGAAAAAUAAUUGCUGUUUUACAUUUACUAUGAGACAAUCUGGGCCCAAAGGAUGACCAAGUAGGACUAGGUCUGGGACCUACUGCAGUCAAUUAAUGAGAGCCUUUGUGAUAUGAGUUUAAGUCUAAGCCCAUACAUUCCAAGAAAUCUUGUAACAUUUCAGCAAUCAAAAUGUAUAUUCCUUUGGGUAGACCAUCUGUAGGUAAGGGUAUAAUACUUUCUGUGAACAGAAGAAAGGGAAGAGAAAGAAGGAAAAAAGGGGAAAGGAAGAGGGGGAAGGAGAAAGGAGAAAAUAGCAAGGGGAAAGAGGAAGAAAGAGCUGUGUUGUUUAGAUGGCUAGUUCCAGUUGGGUCCCCAGAGGGACAGCCCCUGCUCCUACUCACAGGGUUAUUUUCCCUUCAUUCCAGAAGAGGACCAUGACAUCAGGGAGGUGAUACCAUAAUAUGCCAGAUCUCUAUCCAUUACUCCAUUCUGCCAGUGUUGAUGCAUGCCAGCUGCUGUUGCCUGUGGUUUUGCAUAGGGAGCCUGGCUACCACAAAGAAUCUGUAAGUAGUUUCCUCUAUUCAUUGUAUGGGACACUAAGUGUUUUUUCUUCUCAAAGCUAGGUAAUUCUAUAUUUUCUCAAAAGAUCUUGUGCUCAAUUGAUCAAGUUCUGGGGUAGAAAGUUCUUUUUGCCUCUAUGACCACAGAGGACUUUGUAUUGAAAGUUAAACUUCAAGAAAAUCCAGCUGAAUAUGUCUUCAGGGAUGAAGACAUCCCUGAAGACAUAUGAGACCAGUUAUACUGAUUUAACUUCACUUUCUCUCCCACAAAUAUUGAGCCUAUUAUAAACGAUAGUAAAGUAGUUGUGGGUAGAUUGGCAAAAUAACAAAUGUUAAGUGCAUCUGUUGUUGCUUGUUCUUUGGUCUGGAAGAGUACUAUCAGGGAAGGUGAGUUGGAUUUAAGUGAGGGAGACUUCAUAGCUGUGGUAGGAAAUAUUCUGAUGGGACUCCAAUCUAACCUACAGAAGCAGCAGCAGCAGCAGCAUAGCCAACAUAUAUAAAGCAAAGCUUCUAAAAUGGAAGAUCACAACCCUAUACAGGGUUGUGUAACUGAAUGUGGGGGUCAUGAAAUUAUGAUUCCAUGUUUGAAUCAGAAUGUCUUUGAUUUGUAUAACUAUUUUAUAUACGUGGAGUCACAUAAAAUUUCUUGGGCAAAAAGGGGUCACUAGUGGAAA
Molecule: long non-coding RNA, 3987 nt
Organism: Sarcophilus harrisii (Tasmanian devil)
Lineage: Eukaryota; Metazoa; Chordata; Mammalia; Dasyuromorphia; Dasyuridae
Exons: 4
Source: RefSeq, a predicted model, not a curated record